GACGAACGCUGGCGGCGUGCCUAAUACAUGCAAGUAGAACGCACAGUUUAUACCGUAGCUUGCUACACCAUAGACUGUGAGUUGCGAACGGGUGAGUAACGCGUAGGUAACCUGCCUGGUAGCGGGGGAUAACUAUUGGAAACGAUAGCUAAUACCGCAUAAUAUUGAUUAUUGCACGAUAAUUGAUUGAAAGAUGCUAUUGCAUCACUACCAGAUGGACCUGCGUUGUAUUAGCUAGUAGGUGAGGUAACGGCUCACCUAGGCGACGAUACAUAGCCGACCUGAGAGGGUGAUCGGCCACACUGGGACUGAGACACGGCCCAGACUCCUACGGGAGGCAGCAGUAGGGAAUCUUCGGCAAUGGACGAAAGUCUGACCGAGCAACGCCGCGGGAGUGAAGAAGGUUUUCGGAUCGUAAAGCUCUGUUGUAAGAGAAGAACGGGUGUGAGAGUGGAAAGUUCACACUGUGACGGUAUCUUACCAGAAAGGGACGGCUAACUACGUG
This 505-nucleotide ribosomal RNA is filed under the name uncultured bacterium. RNAcentral describes it as "partial 16S ribosomal RNA". It matches the Rfam family "Bacterial small subunit ribosomal RNA", at positions 28 to 507 of the family's 1533-position model. The record is from RNAcentral.